Molecule: long non-coding RNA, 1372 nt
Organism: Monodelphis domestica (gray short-tailed opossum)
Lineage: Eukaryota; Metazoa; Chordata; Mammalia; Didelphimorphia; Didelphidae
Source: RefSeq, a predicted model, not a curated record
UGAAUAGCAGAAAGUCAGCCAAAGAAGAUAAAGUUCUACUUGGCUGAUACCUUGUGAAUGUAUCCCAAGUUUGGCCUCCAAAGUCCAAGAGAAUCCUCCUUAGCAUAUAUUUGGUAGAUUAUCUCUUCCAUUGCAUAUCAGCAUGAUUCUCCUGCAAGGAAGCUCCCCAGCUUCUUCCACGUGGGAAAUUGCAUUAGCCAAGCGCACUGAAGCCUACUCAGAUGGUCUAGGCCAGUGAUGGGCAACCUUUUGGGCUUGGUGUGUCAAAAAUUGGCAAAAAAAUGAGCAUAACUCGAAUGCUCUGGAAGUCUUCCAGUUACCAGAUGGAUAAACCUAUGCAUGCAGAAUAGAGAGGCUGGCUCAAGUUUAUGGUCAUCAUCUCUGCUUCGGCUCUCCUGGUGAAGGAGUACUGGGGAUAUCCAUGACCUCAUGAGUUUUGAAAGAUCAGAAUGUGCUGUGAAGACUCUGGAUCCAGCCAAUGGUAAUUUGUCCUAGCUGCAAAAGACAGAUAGGAAGUUAUAGCUCUUCAGGAACAAAAGCCUGAUAGAUAAUCACCAGGGCUGCAAAUGUCUGAACUGUAAUCCUAGGACAAAGAACUAAGGAAUAGAGGGAGCAGGAUAGAACAGUAUGAGUGUUUGGGGACUGUGGAGUACUCUGUGGCUCCAGCUGGAUCCAAUUCUAGCCACUUAAAAGUCAACUGGGGUAAAGACCAAGGCUGGUGAACCAUGAAUUGUUCAGUGUGGAAGGAGUCUGAGAUGCUUUGAAAUACAGCCCUCAAGGAAACCACAAUCAAAAGGGAGGGAGUCAGAAAGUGAAUGAUAGGGAAAAUAAGAUGGGUUUGGGAAGAAAACUAAAAUUACCAAAGAUUUCAGAAAGAACACUCAAAGACCUGGAACAUAAACAAAUAAAUUAAGAGAAAAAACACAGUAAUAACAGAAGGAAAUGUGGCCUCCAGAUCUAAUAUAUAAAUUUAGGCAUCUAUGCAUAAAUACUUAAAAACAAAGGGAAAUGAUUCAACCCUUGAUAGGAAAGAGGACCCUGUGGAAUUUGAAGACACUGAACCUCAACAUACAGUUCAAAAGAGAAAUGAGAAGCAUAAGAGCAGAAUUUAUGACCUGCCAAGCUAAAACAAUUGGCAGAAUAGAAAAACUAGAAUCAGGAAUGACAAGACUCACAAAGAAAAAAGAAAGAACAAUGGAUUAAGAAUGCAAAUACACAGAAAUGACAGACAAUAUAAAAGAAAAGAAGCAAAAAAUAACACAAUUUUAUAUAUUUUUAAAUUUUUUUCAAUUAUACAGAGAAACAAUAAUUUACAAUUGUUUUCUGACAUUUUGUGAUUCAGAUUCUCUCUCUCCCCCUCUCCUUCCCUCCA